CUUGCACCUCUGUGUUGUGCUGGGACACAUCUGUCUGAGUUGUGUUUUGGGAAGGACUAUUCUCUGUCCAACGCAGCCACUGCUGCCACCUGGAGAGACGGCAUGACAGCACUAAGGGCUUUGAACUGGAUAAUCCUUAAAUUCCCUCCUAGCCCUUUGCAGUGUUCGCAUCCAGACAGGCCUGCCGGGAGGAGGAUUGGAGGGGGGCAGCUGGACAAGCGCCCUGCACCCUAGCUGGGCCUUUGUGUACUGGCCGCAGGAUUUGCAUCUGAAGCCACUAACAAAUGAGGUGAAGGAAAAGUCUGGAACCAGGACCAAGUCUGGUGCUGGUUUGAGUUCUGACUGCAGAGCAGCUGGUGCAGACUUGUGGGUGAUACACAGCUCAGCUGUCCUGAACACACUUGCUGAACUGAAGCCUCUCCCACAGUCGGCAAUGUGCCUUAGUUCACCUCCUUGAGCUCCUGUCCUGUAGUUAUAGGUGAGGAAAUGACUACCUGCACCCCUCCCAAAACAGACUCUUCACAGGGGGGAGUCAAGACAUCAGCUGCCCAAAGCAAACUCACAGGCUCCAAGACUGCACCAACACAUCAUCCAGAACAUUAGCAUUCCUCAGCUCUUGCCAAGCUGAGCUCCCCAUCCUGCUUUGGCUGUGGAGAUGGGUUCUGCUCAGAGGGGUAGAAGAAAGAACAUGGAGGCCAUAGCUCCGGGGUUAGAUGAAAUUGGGUGGUUGAAAACAAAUACAUGUCAGUAUUAGGGCAAGAGGUACCAUUGGGCCAGGCCCUCCUACCACUGCAGCUUCUACUACUCCUCCUUUCGUCUGCUUUCCCACCAUCUGCUGAGACAACCACAGGGAGAGAAGGGCCACACCAGCACACAGGGCAGAGAAGAAGCAACAGAGGAAGAAAACAGGACAGGGGAUGAGAUGCAAGGGGAGAGAUAAAGGUGAGGAGGAUGCUGCAGGUGGCCCUUCCCCAGGGGAAGUGGGGUUCUGGAAAGCUGUUAAUACCCAGUUCUGUGAAGAAGCUGCCUAUUUGUUCCCUAUUCAAGUAUUAAAUUAGCUCAGUCCUAAUUAGCUUGAAAACAAUGACAGAGUUAAAGCGGAUUUUGCCUUUCUCUUCCGGCCUGGAGGCACCAGCUGCCAAACGCUCCUCCAGGUUCGCAUCAUGCACCAGGCUGUGAGGGAGGUGAGAGGAAACAGGGAGAAAGCUGCUUUAACCCCUGCCCAUCAGAGGAAGGGCCUGGGCUAUAACAGGAAUGUUUGCUUUAAAUCUCAUUUAGCCAUGGCUAGUUUUGUUACCCAUAUCCCUGUUGCACACUAAUCCUCCCCUAGGAAGACAAGGAGAAACAUUUUCCCUUUCCUUGGUCCAUCUGUGGAGCAGACAGCUCUGCCUGCCCACGUGCUCACUGCUUUGCAGUCCCCGCUGGCUGUUGCUUUGCCCCUGUUUGACAAGGGAGCUGCACGUUUCUUCCACACCUCUCCUCUUUUAUAAACUUCUCCUUCAGCACCUCAGUCUGUAGCAGAACACAGACUUCUUUCCAAUCCCUCUCACACUCCCAAGGCUCCAGAGCUGAAUACAGCACCUGAAGAGCAGAGAUGGGUAUGCAGUUGAGAAAUGCAGACUGACUCUCUAGAGAGGCUGGCGACACCCGCAGUUGAUAGAAAAGACCAUUUAAUUAUAGCAAGCCCUAAAAAGAGAACAUCAGCUCUCUGUGAAUAAACUCAAUUACACUUCACUAGUCCA
This 1742-nucleotide long non-coding RNA is filed under the name Numida meleagris (helmeted guineafowl). RNAcentral's name for it is "lncRNA (ENSNMEG00000022365.1)". The record is from RNAcentral. Lineage: Eukaryota; Metazoa; Chordata; Aves; Galliformes; Numididae.